GGCAAUGUUCUUUGGCCAGAGAAUUAGGUUUUUUGAGCGGGACUGGCAUUUCUCUUUCUUUUUAAUUCACGCGGCUUCUCACCCUCUCUCUCCAAUCAAUCCAAACCCUAAUUGUUCACCUGUAUACGUUUCAUCUUUCUUAAAUUCAUAUUUUUCAAAGUCAAACCCUAGAUGCGAAGAAAAAAAAAUAAGCCAAUGGAUCUUCUGUUGAUUUCUCAAACUCAAACCCUAAUGGCGAUUUAUCAAACUGCACUGAUAUUGUUUCCCACCAUUGAUUUCUUGGCCAUCGGAAGAAGAAAUUUGUAAAGCUCUUGUGAUUCGUGUUUUGAUCUUUGUAAGAUUUCAAAAUUCCAUUCACUCAUUGAUUUGUCUUUAAUCGCUUGCAAAUCUUCUAUCAUCUCAAGUUGAGCAAACAAGUGGAGGCUACACAAAACCCUCAUCUUAUUAUUAUACAAUCACUCAAUCCACACAAUUAAAAUUCAUUCUCUUCCAAUCCAAUCCAAACACACAACAUCUUCUCCCCAAUUCUUGCUAAACCGUUUCUGAAUCCGAUUGGAUUUCAACAACGAAACCCUAAGUUUGGGAUUCAUUUCAGCCUCCAGUUCGUUGACAAACUGUAGUUAUUGUAAAACAAUGGCUAAAGGUAGCUUCAAGCAAGAGCAUGAAUUCUCAAAGAGGCAUGCAGAGGCUUCAAGGAUCAGGGAGAAAUAUCCUGAUAGAGAAUUCCGAUAUUGAAUUCUUUUCAAAUCUCAUUUGUCAAUCUGUGUUCAUCACCAACACUUUUCCGCAAUAACCCAGAUCAUACUUCCACCUGAGGGAAUGGAUUGGGAGAAGGAUAUAGUAUGCUUGAUCAAGUUGGCAACCGGAAGUUGCGUGUAUCAGUUAGUCAAAGCAAGCUCGCUACCAAAGUAGCCAAAAAGUACGUUUUUUGGUUAAAAAAUGUGUUUUUCUUAAGGAUUUUUAAUUUAUCUAUUUGAUAUGCUUGAUUUGAAACCUUCAGGCUCAAGGAUAAACAACAUAGUAGUGGUGGUGCUACCUCUAGACUAACUUCAAAUUAUGCCUUCACACCUGUGCAAGUUGGUUAUUUGAAUUUGUAAAGUUGAUUUGAAAAUUGGCAAUCUGAUGUUUUUUUUUUGUGCCAGGCAUUGAUCAACUGAUAGAUCCACAGGCAGACGCUAAUACACUUGGGAGUGGAACUCGCAGCACAUACUUCUCGGAAACAAGAAAAGGAACAUUUUCAAAGAUCAAGAGAACCCGAGCCCCAUUUCACUAAAGUGAGAUAGACCCAUGUCAAUAAUCUUUGACAACCCAACGUCGGCUAGCGUCGUUUGAAAGUUCAUAUUUAGGACAAUGUUCGUCGGCCGGCAAAAUCUAAACAUCCAAAAGCAACAUGAAAAUUGACUUCAAUUCCAUUAGGUACACUUUUUAGCUGUUGAAAUUUUAAUAAUGUUUUCUACAAAAUAUGUUUACAAAGAGUUUUCUAAUAGUGUUUUCAAGGAGGCGUAAAGCGAAACAACUUUGUUCUAAACAUAGUUGUUAAUGGCGAAUAGUAGGCGGCUAUUUUAUAAAUAGUUAUACACUAGAUUUAAAAAAAAAUAUUUUAUAUGUAUAUUAUAUCAAAAAAUACGUUGGUAUAUAUGCUAUUUUACAUGUAUAUUUAACAAAAAACCUAAAAUCCAGCUAUUUUAUAGCUAUAUUUAAUUGCUAUUUAUAUUAAAAAAACAAAAAAAUUUGCCGCUAUUAUCACUAUCUAUCGCUAAUAGCGAGCCUACACCUAUACGCUGCGUAGCGCGCUUUAGCGAUCGUUGCGCUCGCUAUUAACAACCAUGGUGAAAAAAACUUUUGGUUGUUGGUUUUUUUAAUUGUAUCGUUUUUUAAGCCGCUACAAAACGAACGCGUAUCACCUAUGGACCUUGGCAAUAAGGCAUGAAGGUGGUUACCUACCGAAACUGAAUAUGUAAGUGAUACUAUAUUGAAAAAAUGGAUUACUGGCAAUGUUUUCUUUAUAUUUUCUUAUAUUUAUCCUUUUAGGUUUAGUUUUUUUUUACUAUUCACUGAUUUUAUGAGAUAACUAAAUCCUUAAUGUUCAUUAUUAAUCUUGAGAUUAUUGUGGCCUAAAUUUUACUUUUUGUAGGUUCAAAAUAGUGGAUUCACAGGUUAGUUGACUUUUAUAAACUAAUACAAGUUUGUUUGAUGUGUUCAUCAAUGCUUUUACAGAUCCAGAGAUAAGAGGGUUUCUAAAAAUGUAGAGAUAGCAGCGUAGAGAGGCCAUGUGGUGAAAUUUGGCUCAUGAAAUGACAAUAGAGUAUAGUGUUUAUGACAACCUAACCAGUGGGUUCACUUUUCAUGGACCCGACAAACAACUCGGGUCAGAAAACGGUGCAUUUGGCGCUGAACAGAAAUCAGCAAGCUCAAGGUCAGGUCUUGUUGAAAGAAUGGUUGCUAGAGCUGGUUACAAUGCUCCAAGAUUAAACACUGACGUUAUCAGACCUCCUCCUGCUUACGUGGACAAACAAUCGUCUGUUUUGACAAUCCCUCCUGGUCUUAGUCCUACUUCGCUUUUAGAUUCGCCGGUUUUUCUGUCGAAUUCGCUGGCUUAACCAUCUCCAACAACUGGGAAAUUCACAUUUGCACAAAAUAAAGAUGAUUCUUUUAAAGAAUUCAACAAUUCAUCUUUUGCAUUUAAACCUGUUCUUGAAUCUGCUUCUGUUCCGGUUUCCAACAAGGUUAAUUUGCCUUUUAUGUCUUGGCAAUCUGAGAAUCGCGUACCAUCUCAAAGUAUUGAAACCGCCAAAAACGGUGGUUUAAAUGGGAAUAUUGUUCAAGAACAUCACGAAGAAGAUGCAGAUCAAAUACCGAGUCGCGAAAAUGUUAAUUACGUAAGUGAAGAUGGGUAUAACUGGAGAAAGUAUGGCCAAAAACAAGUGAAGGGUAGUGAGUAUCCUAGAAGCUAUUACAAAUGCACUUAUGCGCAUCGUCCGGUCACAAAAAAGUGGAGCGAUCUCACGAGGGCCACAUCACCGAAAUUAUUUAUAAAGGGGCCCACAGUCAUCCAAAACCUCUCCCUGACCGUAGAUCCGAGUUCGCUUCUUCUAACGACAUCCAAGGUGGCACGAUCAAAUUGCUAAAACCAGGUUGGUACGAUCAGCCCACCAACCUAGGCUAUUUGUGUUGAAGAAGGUGAUAAAGCAGAUGAAGGAAUCUACAUAAAGCAGAUGAAGGAAUCUACAUAAGAUCUGGGAAUCCUUCAUGUGACCAAGAUCAAGUGUUUAUAGUGGCCCAGUUUGAACAACACCAAAAAAAAAAUAAUUUGAUAUUAAAAUGUGCAGGGAGACAAUGUAUAGAAGGUAUGCUUGAAGUUAACAAAAUCUGGGUUGGCUACUCUGAAUCUAAAUGCAGCUCAACCGCAUCAACUCGGUUGUGCGUGAAUUGUUAUAAAGGAAAAACAACAUUUGUUUCGCAUGGUCAGAUUACCAUUUUUAAUAAGUCACGGUUACCGUUUAAAGGAAUUGGUUUGGUGGUUUAGUGGGCACCCAGAUCUGAGCCACCUGGCACCUGACUUAAAGAGCACAGAAACAACCACGUUUUUUUGGCACCUUCCGGCUAGGCCCUAGGCGGAGCCUAAGCACCUUGAGUGCGCCUUGCACCUGUAAUAACUAUGAUUACAACACGCGACCUGCAAAGAGAAACAAUAUAUUUUUUGUUUCACCAAUUGCAAGUUAUUGACUGCAAGUUUGUUUGAUGUGUUCAUCAAUGCUUUAAGUGUGAUUCAAAAUAUCAUGUGUAUAGCUUACAUCAUAUUCUCUUGUAGUUCAUGAAUUUUAUCAUUUUAUAAAAAAAUCAAGGUUUUACUUUUGGAAAAGCUUUCAACGAUGUAUCGUGAAAAAUGCCACUCUCAUCAUUGUUGAAUGGAAUUUCAUUUUACUUAUAGAACAUGCAGGUAUUAACUAAGUUUUGUAUUUACUACAUCACUUUUAGUUUAUUUGUCAUCUGUGAACAAGCACGUAGUGAGAAUGGGAAUGUUGACUUUUGGUCAAACUUCACUUAUACAUGUCCCUUUGACUGCUUUGGGUGAGAUGUUUGAAGCUGCAACAAGUAUUAGGAGUUGGCUACUGAGGUAAGAGAGAUUAUAAGAGGUGGGAAGAAGAUACACAGAAAUGGACAAAGAUUAGAAGAGACAUGAAAUGGUUCAAGUUUCUUUUCAUGGCUACACUGCACAUAUCCUUAUUAGUUGCAAAAGAUUCUUAUCUGUCAAACCUGACCAGAACCGACCCGACCCGGAACUGUGAAUCCGAACCGUUCUAGGCAUAACAUGGGUAGGUUCUUUGGUGGUUUUCACCGUCCGGUUCCAAGGUUCCAAAUAUUGGGCCGCUAGGUUGGUCUCGGCAGCUUAAUGUUUAUAAUGUUUAGUCUAUGCAAGUUGCAAUAUGACAAAUUAUAUUUGUACCUAUGCUGCUAUGCAUCACGUAAAUCAAACUAUUCUCUUUGAAUA
Helianthus annuus (common sunflower) is the source of this 4492-nucleotide long non-coding RNA. RefSeq lists it as uncharacterized. The transcript is spliced from 11 exons. NCBI's taxonomy places the organism in Eukaryota, Viridiplantae, Streptophyta, Magnoliopsida, Asterales, Asteraceae. The record is from RefSeq and is a predicted model, not a curated record.